UGCACACAGGUUCUGUUUGUGCAGUUUCCUCCUGUGUUUCCCAGAGGCGAAUGAGGAGGACGGGCCAUGGCAACAUUCAACAAGCUGGCCUCACCCAGCACAUACACACCUGCCAUCUCUGCAGUUCUGACCUUGGCUAGCCUCACUCCACUGUCUAGCUUUAAGCCCCAUCUUCAUCUUUGAGCAGUGGCUGGAAGUUACAGCUGCAGCAAAUGUGCAGAAUAUGAAAAGAAUUUAGAAUAGAAUUAGACCAGAAACGAUGUUGUUAAAUCCAGCCAUGUGCUACAGAGACCUGGCAAGGUUGCAGGCAUGUCUAAGUGUACAGAAGCAGGUGACAUAUGACCGAAUGUAGGGGCCAGGACUAGGAGCUGACCUUUGCAAGACAGUGACUUAGCAAGUACAAAAUCAACAAAAAUCAUCCUGACCUCUCUACUUCUAACUCCUGCACCCAAGCUAACAUCCCUGCUCAUGAUGCAACCUCGGCCAGCUGUUGUUUGCUGCUGUGUUCCUAAUAUCUAAAACAGCGCCUGGCACCCAGAAACAACCAAGGAUUUGAAGGAAAGAGUGGGCCAAGACUCAGGCAACGUAGGUUUUUAUCCCAAUUCUGAGACAUGCCUGCUUUGUGACUUUGUAGAAAUCAUGACCUUCUUGAGUCUUCAUUUCCUUCUCUCCAAAACGGACCUAACAAUCUGUCUCCUGGUGUCUUGAAGGGGCUGCAGGCAGGAUAGAGAUGUAAGUGCACAUGUAUUAUAAGGCCCUGCAGAAACAGGACGGAUUAUUGUCAUUAGCUGGUGACAUUUGCAAGGACUGCCUACAUGCAUACUGUUUUAAAUGCUUUUGAAUUGGGAAUUGUCUCCCCUGUGGCCUUUGUAUGAAACGAGAUUCUACAUCAAGUGUGACAAACAUCUCCAGCACCACUGAGUGUUCGGCCCUGUGGCACGACAUGAGGAAGGGGGAAGGAUGGCCCAUUGCAAAUUUUCUCAAGACUGGUGAAAAUUGGGGUCAACUGGAAUAUUCUGGAGAUCUAUCAAUGAGGCCAGAUUAGCAUCAUUGGAAUUUGCCUCAUCCUAUAAAUUCCUGGGCAGCAUCCUCUUGGAAGGAUUGUAUUGAAGGAAAGAGACUUGAUAAAGUACAUUACUUCUGAUAAUACAACAAUCCCAUGAGUAAGCGCACUCCUUGCGUCCAAAAGGUGGUGAAAAGACUUCCACAGGAUUCUCCUCAUGGUUUAUACUGGGUACCUCAGUCUGCAAUUUUUUUUUUUUAACUCCUCUCAUGAAGUUCAGAGACCAAGGAUCUUUCUCCUGCAGAUUGACACUGUUAAUCACAAACAAGCCCAGGGUUGUGUUCAGAGACAAAGUCAGUGUGACCGGUGACUGUUACAGCAAUACAAAAUAAUGGCAGCAGUCCCACUAGCCGAGGCCAGCAUCGAAUAGGGCAAGUUACUCAAACACGUCACCCUAGCGACCACUCCAAACACCUGUGCUUAAACUAACUUAGGGAGCCCGGUUUUGCAGGAUGUGCAACCACGUUGUGCCCCCUAGGGCUCACCAGACUUUAGUACCUAAUGCAGCUACCCUCACCGUGGCCCAGGUUCCCAGGGAAAUAAAACAUGUAAGUUGCCAAUACAGGAAACAGAAGUCAUCCUCAUUGCUCUGCAGGGAUUUAAAAAUUACAAACUUUUCAUUAGCAGGAGCUAAGAACAAGAGAUGAGUGCCAUCUUGUGGAGAGACCCACAGACACGCAUGGAGUUGUACCCCAAGUUCUCUCCCAGUGCAAGCAUUCCCCAAACUCACCCCCUCUUAACCAUCUCCUGAGUCAAAUGCACUUGAGCACAUAGUGCACAGUGCUCUUUCAACUUUUUCAAAAUAGCAACAGUUUAACAGCUAAUAACCUUAAGCUCCCUCACAGCAGCCUGAGGCCUACCGGAAGCUCUCUAAGGACGCUGCACCAUGUUGUCCUCCCAUCACCGGGCAGCCCAUCUCCUCAGUUUGUUGGCCUCCCAGUUGGUAGAAGAGAGAGGGUAAUGGUCCUUUUGCUCAUGCAGCCUCUCCCCCUACUUCAAUGCUCACCAUUUGGUUUCAUGAGAGAAACCUUCAUUACAUAUUACACAUCACAUAGGUGCUGGGGAUACCAAAAUAACAAUGACAGGCUGGCAAGGGGUCGGGUAAACAGACAUGUAAGUGACAAGCGCUGUGAUUGUGCAGAGCAACAGGGCAGAGAGCUGAAGAAGGAGGGAGAGAAGUCCUGGGGCUCUGUCUACAGAGCAGCCAUCACUGAGGGUGCGCCACUGCCCCCCGUGUUCCCUGGGGCCCCAGCAGACUCCUUUGAGUGCUAGUUGGAGCAGGAGCUGUGGCCACGUUGACCAAGACCGUCCUCGAGAGGAACCUCUGCCCUCCUUGGCGAGGCUGGUCUGGGUGUGGACACUGCUUUUCCUCUUAGUUCUUCUGAGGCAAGGUUUUCCAGUAGAAAUGUUUACUAGGUGACUAAAGGAAAAAACAAAAGCAAACAAUGAAAUACAGGGGCAUAUAAAGGCUAGCCUGCAAACAAAGGUGCCACACCCCAACAUGACAGACACUAAACUCCAGCACAGGCCAGCCUGACGAGGGUGGCUUCUUAGUAUGUGAAUCUCUUUGCCAUCUUCACCUCAUACCUGUGUCCAGGGGCACGAGGCCAAGCUGCAGACAAGCCCAGUGAAGGCAGACUGGGCUUACGAGACUCAUGGCCUACUGAGACCUGCAGUACAUUCCAGAAGCUGCUUCCUAAAUUCUGCUCUCGGGCGGGCUCGUGGCAUCCACACCCCGGUUUCCACUGCAGUCUGCCCAUCCUGGCCCUGAAAGUGGAAGGUCUUCCAGUUGUUGUUGGCUUUGUUGUCAUUGUUUUUAAGGUCAAUGGACAUUUGAGUUGCGUCUGAAUUUGGCAAAGAUUUAUUUUGGUUAUGCUGGUAUGAAAUCUGUUUUCUAAUUUAUUGUAUUUCUCAAUCUCAUCUCAAGGGGAGAUAUUGUGAAAUAUAUAUUUGUUCUUCAUCCCGUUUCCUGGCAUACAGCUCCUAAAAUCCUGGGAAUCUCCAAGUGUCUUUUUAUAAUUGACUUUUAUGAUGUCUUUUCAUAUGCUAAUGAUUGACUGAUGGCUGGGCUCCCUAGACUGUUUAAGGAAAGUCUGUUCUCCAGAAAGACCAAGGCAGGAUUAGAGGUUCAGGACUUCCAGCUCCAACCCUCAAUGUCCAAGGAGUGGAGGGAGCUGGGGGUUAAGUUGAUUACCAAUGGCCAGUGGUUUUGUCAAUCAUGCCUACAUAAUGACGUGUCCAUAAAAGGCCCAAAAGAACAGAAUCUGGAGAGCUUCCAGGUAGGUGAUCAGGUGGAGGUUUCCGGAGGGUAGCAAACCCCUUCCCCCAUACCUUGCCCUACACAUCUCUUCUUCUGUAUCCUUUGUAAUGUCCUUUAAGUAAACUGGUAAAGGUAUUUCUCUGAGUUCUGCGGGCCACUCUAGCAAAUUAAUCAAACCCAGAGAGGGGAUUGUGGGAACCCCAACUUGAAGCUAAUAGGUCAGAAGUUCCGGAGGCGCAGAAUUGUGACUAGUGAUUGGGGUUAAGGAUGGCAGCCUCAGACACUGAGCACUGUGAGAUCUGACACGACCUCCAGGUAAACAGCAUUGUAGUUGAAUUAGAGGACACCCAGCUGGUGUCCCCUGAAGAACUGCUUGCUUGUUUGCAGCUGGGGA
This 3717-nucleotide long non-coding RNA is filed under the name Homo sapiens (human). RNAcentral's name for it is "HSALNT0100274". Lineage: Eukaryota; Metazoa; Chordata; Mammalia; Primates; Hominidae. The record is from RNAcentral.